RNAcentral lists this small nuclear RNA (107 nucleotides) under Phascolarctos cinereus (koala). The record is from RNAcentral. Lineage: Eukaryota; Metazoa; Chordata; Mammalia; Diprotodontia; Phascolarctidae.
GUUUUUGCUUCUACAGUUCACAUACUAAAAUUAGACAAAUACAGAAAAGAUGAGCAUGGCCAGUAGUCAAGAAUGACAUAUAAAUUUGUGAUGUACUGUAUGUUAUU